AUUUGUUUAACUAAUUGUUUUGUGUGCAGAAUUAGAAUUUGGCUUGACCAAGGAGUAGCAAGUUGUGAUUGUUGAAUCAAUGUUCAUCUGUAGCAGUUAAACUGGAUGAACACCAUCUUUGAUUAUCAGAACUGUCAUAGAAUUAGCAAUCGUUUGACAGUGUGGUUUAAACCACAAGCUGCAUUACAUUCGGCUUUGCAGAGAUUUUAAUGCCCUGAGUUCUAUUCCUAUUUUGCUGAUUUAGUGAUAAUCUGCAAUUUUUGUUGAAUUGUGGUGAUAUCCUAUUGUGCAGAUUGUUCUGGGAAAAAUUGAAAGUUAUGCAGAUUUCACUUAGAAAGCAGUGUACACCAGAUUUGUGACCAACUGCAGCAGUGGUAAAAUUGGAUCCAUUCUUCCACAUCAGUUGCAUUGAAGCCGAGAGAGUAAUUGUGCAGUUUUGAAAAGCAACAUACUCUUAGGAUCAUAAUGAAAAAGAUUGGGAAUUUGGAAGAAAGCUUGAAUCAAGAUAAGUUUAAUANGAAGGUGAAAACCUCAAUUAUCCAAAAUGAACUUAGAAUCAUAAAAGUGGAACAAAAGAAUCAGAGAAAUCAAGAGCUUUUAAGAGAACUCAUUCAANAGGGUAGAUCAUUCAUUAAUAGCUUAAGUGGAUUUUAUUGUCAGGAGAGAGAAUAUAGAGAUAAACUCAUAAAGUUCUUGAAUGAGGGAAGUAAAAGAGACAAGGAGAGAGAACGAAGAGAAUUACAAGAAAGACAAGAGAGAAGAAAGAGAGAAGAAGAGAAAAGGAGAGAAGGAUAGAGCAAGUAAGGAUAGAAGAGGAAGAAAGAAGAGAACAACAUAGGAUAGAAGAGGAAGAAAGAAGAGAGCAACAUAGAAGAGAAGAAGAAAAAGAGAGAAUAAGAAGAGAGAAAGAUAGAAAGGAAGAGGAAGAAAAGAGAGAGGAGGAAGAGCGACUACAAAAGAAAGAGAAUGAAGAAAUUGAAAGGAAGAAAAUGGAAGAAAAGAAAUUGAUGACAACAUAUUCUAUUCUAGAACCCAAAAGGGGAGGUUUUCUAUCCUUUCACUUUUCUUCAAUUGAUAUUAAAUGUUCCAAAUUCAUCUUUUCUUUCCAAAACUUUGCCAUCACAUCUUUUCAAAAGUUACAAUUUCCAAAACUUGAGUUAGAGUUACUUUUCAAGUUAUCACUAACUCAAGACAAAAAUAAAUUUUCAAAUGAAGAAAGGUUUCUUUGUAAUCAUAAAGUUGAAAAUUUUAAAAUUAAGAAAUAUUUUUCUAAACAUAUUCUUUUAUAUACCUUGUUGGGUCAUAGAAAACUAAUUAGAGAUAUGUUUGAUGUUUAUUGCAGAUUAAUCUUUGACCCAGGAGGAACUAGUAUGGAGUCUACAAUAAUAAGUUCUCAGGCGAACCAUCAGAUUUGAGGACAAAUCCUUUCCAAGGGGGAGGGGAUGAUGACUUGGGCCCAAGCCCAAUAAAUAAAGUCCACUAAACCAAGCUCAUCAUUUAGACAAGGAAUCAUUUACUUGAAGAAUAAGGUUGCUGAGUGCACUCCCCAUGGUGAUAAAUCAACCUUGUGGCAGCAAAGCCCAAGAAAUAGAAGACUAAGGGUGCUUAGCGCACCCCUCCUUUAUGCUAAAUACACCGUGGUAGCUUUUCUUCAUUGUUAGCUUGCAUUUCCGUUUAGCUUCUAGAUUCAACAACUUCCAGCACGUGUAUGAUAAGUUGUGCAUGAUGGUAGCAAUAGGCAUCGUUUAGAUUCAUCUACCACGAGGGAGAUAACACUAUAAAUUUCCCUCCUUACUCUUUGUAG
RNAcentral lists this long non-coding RNA (1804 nucleotides) under Vigna radiata. Its description in RNAcentral is "long non-coding RNA (VRAD_LNC016634)". The record is from RNAcentral. Lineage: Eukaryota; Viridiplantae; Streptophyta; Magnoliopsida; Fabales; Fabaceae.